Molecule: ribosomal RNA, 253 nt
Filed under: uncultured bacterium
Lineage: Bacteria
Description: partial 16S ribosomal RNA
Rfam family: Bacterial small subunit ribosomal RNA
Source: RNAcentral
UACGAAGGGGGCUAGCGUUGCUCGGAAUUACUGGGCGUAAAGGGCGCGUAGGCGGAUAGUUUAGUCAGAGGUGAAAGCCCAGGGCUCAACCUUGGAAUUGCCUUUGAUACUGGCUGUCUUGAGUUCGGGAGAGGUGAGUGGAAUGCCGAGUGUAGAGGUGAAAUUCGUAGAUAUUCGGCGGAACACCAGUGGCGAAGGCGACUCACUGGCCCGAUACUGACGCUGAGGCACGAAAGCGUGGGGAGCAAACAGG